UCGUUUACUUUUUACAAGAUAAUAGCAAGAAUGGUUGCCUGGACUAGUUCUGGAAAAAUGAGAAAGAGUAAAAGGGGGGUUUAGCCUUGUUAAUGUUUGCAUUUGUAUGAGGAAGGAGGGGUUUGCAGAAGAAAACUACGUACUGCAGCCUUACAGUAAAGGUAAGAACAGGUCUCGCACUUUCCAAAAGAUAGUGAACAUCACCGAACAUUUUUUUGGCUUAGAUCCAAGUUCCAAUUAUACAGAUUAACUAAUUAAUACAUAAAUAUUCCAUCAAAAUGACUACUGACAUUUACACCUUUGAAAGAUCAUAGAAUGGCAUGUAUAUUUCAGGAAAGCUAACAAAACCAUUGUCUCCUCGAGUGGAAAUUUAGUUUGAUAGGCAGAAGCCCAUGAAGACUGAUAUGCACAAUCACAAUCACAAUCACAAUCAACAAUCACAAUCACAAUGAAUUCAGCUUCUUUUUUUAGCGGGGACUGUAAAGAAGAUGAAAUGCACACUGGAACUGCAAUCGAUGGAGAGAAUAUCAAAUGAAGUAUGCAAAGUGUCAAAUGAAGCAUUAAGCCUGCAAGGUCCUGCAGAUUGGACACUUAGCCUUGAUGGUUAGCCACCGAUCUAUACAUUCAGCAUGGAAACAAUGUUGGCAUUCAGGUAGGAACAUUAUUGUGUCCUUUGGAACAUAAUCUGCUAGGCAUAUUGCACAGGUUACACCAUUCGGUCCUUCAACCCGACGACUUUCACCAAUUGUGACCUUUUUGUAGGUUUCAAUGGUGGAUAGCCCUGGUGUCACCGUGUUUGAUAAACCAGCUGUUCCGGAAGUUUGGUCUGAACCACUGUCCCGAGGAUUGCCGCAUAACAUCA
This 862-nucleotide long non-coding RNA is filed under the name Erythranthe guttata (spotted monkey flower). RNAcentral describes it as "long non-coding RNA (EGUT_LNC001814)". Lineage: Eukaryota; Viridiplantae; Streptophyta; Magnoliopsida; Lamiales; Phrymaceae. The record is from RNAcentral.